RNAcentral lists this ribosomal RNA (254 nucleotides) under uncultured bacterium. Its description in RNAcentral is "partial 16S ribosomal RNA". It matches the Rfam family "Bacterial small subunit ribosomal RNA", at positions 524 to 776 of the family's 1533-position model. The record is from RNAcentral.
UACGGAGGGUGCAAGCGUUGUCCGGAUUUAUUGGGUUUAAAGGGUGCGUAGGCGGUUCGUUAAGUCCGGGGUGAAAGCCCACUGCUCAACAGUGGAACUGCCCUGGAAACUGGCGGACUUGAGUACGAGAAGGGGCAACUGGAAUUCUCGGUGUAGCGGUGAAAUGCGUAGAUAUCGAGAGGAACACCUGCGGCGAAGGCGGGUUGCUGGGCUGAUACUGACGCUGAGGCGCGAAAGCCAGGGGAGCGAACGGG